Mauremys reevesii (Reeves's turtle) is the source of this 1268-nucleotide long non-coding RNA. RefSeq lists it as uncharacterized. NCBI's taxonomy places the organism in Eukaryota, Metazoa, Chordata, Testudines, Geoemydidae. The transcript is spliced from 3 exons. The record is from RefSeq and is a predicted model, not a curated record.
CUUUCUCCCUUUUCUUCAGCAAUUCCUGGGACUACCCUUUUCCUCAGGGGUCCCAGCAUAAUAUUCCUUCUUGCUGUGGGCAAACACCUUAAAAGCCUGAGCCACAUGCAAAAAAUAAUUUCCAAUAAGCAUGUCAACAGGAAUAUGGUCCACUACUCCCACUGUUAGAAACCGAUGGUUUAGCAAGUAUAUUAUGUGCAUUUUGGCCAAAGGCACAAGAAUCCUGACACCUCAUACUAACAAAAGCUCUGCCCUUUGUCCUGGCAAUAUGUCACCUUCUUGAAUUAUGCUCUGCUGAACCACAGAAAUUUCUGCACCUGUGUCUUCCCAUCCUAAUUAUUCCUUGCCAUUGAUCUUGACAACCUUAAUGUGCUCCAUGUCUCGUUCUGCAGAGGCUAAUCCCACAAAAGCAGUAUGAUAAGUGCCAGGCACUUGUUAGGUUUCUGUGUUGAGGACAGCAGAAUUAACAUGGGCUAUUGGUUGCUGGCUUCCUCCCAGCACAAGGGGAUUUAUUCUUCAGGUAAAACAGUGACCCUGCUUCCCACCAGGUUUAAACCCCUCUUUCUGUGGUUUACUCUCAAUGGAUGCCUGGGUCUGCUCAAAGUCAUCAGAAAGCAAGCAAACAUCUCAGAUGGGAAGAAAAGUGUCCUGAACCAAAGAGGAUUAAUACAUAAACUGAUAGGUUGCAGCAGAUGAUUCAUGAGGAGCCAGCCAUCAGCAUCCCCUAAUGCAGAGGAGCCAAGAAGCAAACACCUCAGAGGCCAGUCUUGACCAGACCCAAUGAGAGCAAAAUAGUAUUAACAACCUAAGAUGUAAUGAGAUGGGUCUGGGUCAGCAUGAGAAGAGAAGCCCAGAGGAUUUGACUGAUCAUCUAUCACCUAAACAUGGUGUCUGUGUUACAGUAUUACAUAAUAGUCUGUGAUAACCAUCAAAGAGGUCUAAUAGAUUAUGAAAAAUGAGCCUUAAAGUAGACUGACUAGUCUAAUUAAUCAGUGUUUGGAAGGAGUUUUGUUAAUCUGAGAAAAUGAAAGAUGACCAUUAUUUAAUACUUAUAUUAUGCCGUAAAGUUCUAUUCAGCAUGAAUGUCAGAGUCUGGCUCAGUACACACAACUUAUCAUCCUCACUCAAAAAAUAAUGGCCUCUUCCCUCUUUUCAGCAAAAACUUAAUAGGAGAGUGCUGUAAUGUUUCCUACUGUGAAGACUUCAUUUGCUAUAUAAAAUACAUUGCAGAGCACUUACUAGUUCACUGGUAUUAUCAGUCACUUAAA